UUUAUAUAUAAACGUGUCUUGACAAUCAAGGACUUGAUGUGAGUCUUCCUUUAUGAUGUUUAUUAAUGUUAUGCAUUCCAUUUGUUUGAAGUGAGUACCAAUGUGCUAAUUUGUAUUGUCUGAAAGUAUGUAAUGUUUUUACAGCUUGUUUUUAAGACUCUGUAAAUAUGUACAAACCAGUCACAGUACCGCUUUAUGUUAGAAGGCGUGUGAUGUUGUACUGUAUGUAAGCAAUAAUACAUAGCAGUGCUAACUUUACAAGUAGCAUCAGGAACGUUCUAGAGAAACAUUUCAGAGUUAUCCUUAUUAGUUACCCUUGUUUCACUUAAUAAUGAUUACCUUUAAUCAGUUUUUAUAAGCAAAUUCCAUUGUUCCUCCUGUUGGAACGUAACACUGUUUACACAGCAUAACUGACGUUGCAGGGGGGACAGGCUAGAUGUGGCUUCGCCUGUGCUCACUCUCACUAAGCAUUGAAUGGCCUUACCACUCUUGUGCAAAGAUGGAGGAAGACCGCUGAACUUAGUGCCCAUCACACUGAAGGAAGGGAUGUGUUUUGUUUUGUUUUGUUUUGUUUUCCUGUUUCUGUACGGCUACCUAACUCUGGUUUGCUUUGGGUUUUAAUGUGUUUCUGCUCUAGAUUCAAGCCCGCAAGUGUUGAGGUAACUUCAGUUCAGUUGUGAAGUAGAUAGAUUUCUUCAUAUUUCAUAGCUACAUUUCAAUGAUUCUAAACUUUCUACUUUGAUUUUUAGAUACUUAUUUUUCAAGCUUGAUUUCUCAGCUGACCAGAUGAAUUUACUCAACUUCAAUACAAAGAAAGACAAACUUAUAGCUUGAAGUGAGUAGAUAUUAUACUGUACAGAGCAGCUCUCUGAACACCCAUCACUGCUUUAGAAACGAAGCCGCCAAUUUAUAAAUGAUUAUGACCUACAUUUUAUAGGGAAAAUGUUUUUAAUGCUAGUCAUUUAUAUAAUGUGCUUUGAAGGGUUUGCUAGGCCACUCCUGUCACUUUUUAGCACACUGGUACCUUUUCUAUGUAAUGUAUGCUUUUUAUUAUUGUAGCAAAGCAUUUCAGUAGAAAGAAUUUUGCAACAAUAUGGGGGAAAUUUUUCAUUGUCGGGUUUGAAUUAUACUGGAUUUUAUCUGUCUAGUCUUACUUGUCUUUAUUUUAAUGCUGUCUGGAAGGGACCUUGGUACCCAAAUAAAGCAGGUUAACCUCAUUGCUUCAAGGGCAUACAUACUGUGUAGUGCUGAGUUUCACCUGGAAAUCUGAUGACUUUGAAAAGAAAAACACAUUUAUAAAAAUUGUACAGAAGAAAUUAAAUGUGUGAUGGAAAUCCUGAUGGUGGAGCACAUUGGAUUUUCUGAGACAUAGUGUUAUUUUCCUGGAAUCCCUUAUGCCUUCUUUGUAUUCCAGCCAAUAAAGAAAACCUUGUUGUUGAAAGUGGUAGGCUGCUAGGAUAUUCUGAUUAUACAGUAUUGCUUUUCCUGUCCUGGUCUCGGCCCCUCUCAAUUGCUGUAAACUUUUAUUUUCUACUUCCUAUUGCUAAUUAAACAUGUAUAUAAUGUAGAGGCUGUUGUAUAGAACUGAAUGAAUUGGGAUGCUAUGCUUGAAUGGGUAGCUACGUGGAAAUAUUGGAUGGAUACUGAAAGUUCCUAAGAUGCCAGAGUAAAUUUACGCGGGAAAGGGGAUGUCUUUUCUUGGGAAGGCCACAGCAGAUGGUUCCUGCACCCCUAGGGGUCAGUGGGAGAAUCAGCUGCAAACUCAGUAUCAGACACAGAGUGGAGCCUCCCUUCCCUUCCCUUAAAAUAUGAGCACUAAAUUUCAAAAAUCUACUCAGGUGAACUUGCUUUGCAGUGAAACUUAACCACAUUGAAAUUUUCACUGUUAAAUACUAUAUUUGUGAUAUUUUUAAAUACAAACUUUUACACUGCAGUCAGCAGCCUAAUGAUUGAAAUUUAGCCAAGAUAUUUUAAAAGUAAUAGUUAUCCUCCAUGUAUAAUUGUUUUUAAACAAUUGGGAGGAUUUUUCUGUUGAAAGAUUUUUUUUUUUAUCAUCAUUGUUUAAAAAAAAAGAAACCAUCUUGCUUGAGCCCCCAUUUUAUACCAUAAGUGAGUCACUGAGCCAUUCAAGUGCAGUGGUGGCUUGUUUCACCCCUGGCCACGGGACGUGAACUGACAUUACAAGGUUUAAUGAGUUCAUAGCUUUUGGCACAGUUGUCACCUCGCCUCUUGGAGUUUAUAACACUGUUUUGUGUAUUGUGAUACUAAAAGGAAGUUGUUUUACAUUAUUUUAAAUUGAAUUAUUAGAUUAACUUAUAUUUGCAAAUUCUGCAUUUUAAAUGUGGACACUUGGCUGUUUGAAAAUAAAAUACAGAAUACAAGUUUUAUGAAUAAUUUUCUAGCUGAAUUUUUCACAGUACUUCGAACCAAAUAUCUACUGGUAAAUAUGCAAAAAAAAUGUGGUACAUAGUUACUCUAGAGGAAGGGAUGUCCAUGUGGAAUUACUAGUUCCAUAGGUUGAGUAAAUAUCAGGGCCUUUACUGUAGUUUGCCGUGAUAAUGUUACUAGUUCUAAGAUCUAGUCAGCUGUUAAUCAUCAUUAACUAUUUCAGACUUGAACCAUGUUGAAGCAUAGGGCUAAGAAUAUCUAUAUGGCUUUUCCUUUACAGAUAAGAUUCCAUCAACCUUUCUUUCAUCAGUAGCAUACAUAGUUUGUUGGGUGUUUUUCCCCCUCCAUUAGUGUAGAUAGACCUGUUUUCAGCCACCAGCCACCUUGCCAGGACUUCGUCUUCUGACAGUGGGAUGCAUUGUAAAAAAGCAGUUUGCAGUUAAGAGUGCUGCCUCCGUUCUUGGGACAAAUGUCAAUUAGUUGGCCCUUGCAAAAGUCAGUGCUCAGAGCCUGGCUUAUUGGCACGGUGCUGUAACCAACUGUACGUAAUGGUACCACUGACGGUCUACUAUUCAUUCCCUAGAUCCCGGUUCUUGAGUGAUUUGGCUUGGUGGGGAGAGGGGUGGGGAGAUUUCUACCUGACACUUCUCCCACCUUCUGAAGAUUCUAUG
RNAcentral lists this long non-coding RNA (3059 nucleotides) under Mus musculus (house mouse). Its description in RNAcentral is "long non-coding RNA chr16:33500813-33503872". Lineage: Eukaryota; Metazoa; Chordata; Mammalia; Rodentia; Muridae. The record is from RNAcentral.